GACGAACGCUGGCGGCGUGCCUAAUACAUGCAAGUUGAGCGCUGAAGGUUGGUACUUGUACCGACUGGAUGAGCAGCGAACGGGUGAGUAACGCGUGGGGAAUCUGCCUUUGAGCGGGGGACAACAUUUGGAAACGAAUGCUAAUACCGCAUAAAAACUUUAAACACAAGUUUUAAGUUUGAAAGAUGCAAUUGCAUCACUCAAAGAUGAUCCCGCGUUGUAUUAGCUAGUUGGUGAGGUAAAGGCUCACCAAGGCGAUGAUACAUAGCCGACCUGAGAGGGUGAUAGGCCAAAUUGGGACUGAGACAAGGCCCAAACUCCUUCGGGAGGCAGCAGUAGGGAAUCUUCGGAAAAGGACGAAAGUCUGACCGAGCAACGCCGCGUGAGUGAAGAAGGUUUUCGGAUCGUAAAACUCUGUUGGUAGAGAAGAACGUUGGUGAGAGUGGAAAGCUCAUAAAGUGACGGUAACUACACAGAAAGGGACGGCUAACUACGUG
This 497-nucleotide ribosomal RNA is filed under the name uncultured bacterium. RNAcentral's name for it is "partial 16S ribosomal RNA". It matches the Rfam family "Bacterial small subunit ribosomal RNA", at positions 28 to 507 of the family's 1533-position model. The record is from RNAcentral.